RNAcentral lists this transfer RNA (69 nucleotides) under Branchiostoma floridae (Florida lancelet). It matches the Rfam family "tRNA". Rfam says of the family: Transfer RNA (tRNA) molecules are approximately 80 nucleotides in length. The record is from Rfam by way of RNAcentral. Lineage: Eukaryota; Metazoa; Chordata; Leptocardii; Amphioxiformes; Branchiostomatidae.
GGUGGGUUGGCUCAGCUGGAAGAGCGCUGGUGGUUGCCAGAGGCCCGGGUUCGAGUCCCGGACCCGCCA